This 506-nucleotide ribosomal RNA is filed under the name uncultured bacterium. RNAcentral describes it as "partial 16S ribosomal RNA". It matches the Rfam family "Bacterial small subunit ribosomal RNA", at positions 28 to 523 of the family's 1533-position model. The record is from RNAcentral.
GAUGAACGCUAGCUACAGGCUUAACACAUGCAAGUCGAGGGGUAACAAGAGGAAAGCUUGCUUUUCUUGUUGACGACCGGCGCACGGGUGAGUAACGCGUAUCCAACCUGCCUAUAACUAGGGAAUAACCUUGCGAAAGUAAGACUAAUACCCUAUGAUUUCCUUUGAUGACAUCAGAUUAGGAAUAAAAAUUUAUCGGUUAUAGAUGGGGAUGCGUCUGAUUAGCUUGUUGGCGGGGUAACGGCCCACCAAGGCAACGAUCAGUAGGGGUUCUGAGAGGAAGGUCCCCCACAUUGGAACUGAGACACGGUCCAAACGCCUACGGGAGGCAGCAGUGAGGAAUAUUGGUCAAUGGGCGGAAGCCUGAACCAGCCAAGUAGCGUGCAGGAUGACGGCCCUAUGGGUUGUAAACUGCCUUUAUACAGGAAUAAAGUUAGCCACGUGUGGUUAUUUGUAGGUACUGUAUGAAUAAGGACCGGCUAAUUCCGUGCCAGCAGCCGCCGCCG